GGACCCGCACAAGCAGCGGAGCAUGUGGUUUAAUUCGAAGCAACGCGAAGAACCUUACCAGGACUUGACAUCCCGAUGACCGGUUCUUAACCGAACCUUCUCUUCGGAGCAUCGGUGACAGGUGGUGCAUGGUUGUCGUCAGCUCGUGUCGUGAGAUGUUGGGUUAAGUCCCGCAACGAGCGCAACCCUUGCCAUUAGUUGCCAUCAUUAAGUUGGGCACUCUAGUGGGACUGCCGGGGAUAACUCGGAGGAAGGUGGGGAUGACGUCAAAUCAUCAUGCCCCUUAUGUUCUGGGCUACACACGUGCUACAAUGGUCGGUACAAAGAGCAGCAAUACCGUGAGGUGGAGCAAAUCUCAAAAGCCGAUCCCAGUUCGGAUUGUAGGCUGCAACUCGCCUACAUGAAGUUGGAGUUGCUAGUAAUCGCGGAUCAGAAUGCCGCGGUGAAUGCGUUCCCGGGUCUU
This 463-nucleotide ribosomal RNA is filed under the name uncultured bacterium. Its description in RNAcentral is "bacterial SSU rRNA". It matches the Rfam family "Bacterial small subunit ribosomal RNA", at positions 917 to 1382 of the family's 1533-position model. The record is from RNAcentral.